CAGCAGCCGCGGUAAUACGAAGGGGGCUAGCGUUGCUCGGAAUUACUGGGCGUAAAGGGAGCGUAGGCGGAUCGUUAAGUUGGGGGUGAAAGCCCGGGGCUCAACCUCGGAAUUGCCUUCAAUACUGGCGAUCUUGAGUAUGGAAGAGGUAUGUGGAACUCCGAGUGUAGAGGUGAAAUUCGUAGAUAUUCGGAAGAACACCAGUGGCGAAGGCGACAUACUGGUCCAUUACUGACGCUGAGACUCGAAAGCGUGGGGAGCAAACAGGAUUAGAUACCCCUGUAGUCCCUGUCUCUUAUAC
This 301-nucleotide ribosomal RNA is filed under the name uncultured bacterium. Its description in RNAcentral is "partial 16S ribosomal RNA". It matches the Rfam family "Bacterial small subunit ribosomal RNA", at positions 509 to 807 of the family's 1533-position model. The record is from RNAcentral.